Molecule: ribosomal RNA, 389 nt
Filed under: Phyllomedusa tomopterna (tiger-striped leaf frog)
Lineage: Eukaryota; Metazoa; Chordata; Amphibia; Anura; Hylidae
Description: partial 16S ribosomal RNA
Rfam family: Bacterial large subunit ribosomal RNA
Source: RNAcentral
AAGAGGUCCAGCCUGCCCAGUGACUCUGUUUAACGGCCGCGGUAUUCUAACCGUGCGAAGGUAGCGUAAUCACUUGUUCUUUAAAUGAGGACUAGUAUGAAUGGCAUCACGAGGGUUAUACUGUCUCCUUUUCCAAAUCAGUGAAACUAAUCUCCCCGUGAAGAAGCGGGGAUAAAAAUAUAAGACGAGAAGACCCUAUGGAGCUUAAAACUUUCAACAAUUAUAUUUUAUUUAUAAAUCUAAAGGUAAUCAAACUAAUCCUUAUAAUAUGUUUGUUAGUUUUCGGUUGGGGUGACCGCGGAGUAAAACCUAACCUCCAUAUUGAAUUAAAUUAUUUAUUAGCAAAAAACUACAAUUUUAUGCAUCAAAAAAUUGACAUUAUUGACCCA